This 1633-nucleotide ribosomal RNA is filed under the name Candidatus Wolfebacteria bacterium. Its description in RNAcentral is "partial 23S ribosomal RNA". It matches the Rfam family "Bacterial large subunit ribosomal RNA", at positions 1 to 908 of the family's 2925-position model. The record is from RNAcentral. Lineage: Bacteria; Candidatus Wolfeibacteriota.
GGUCAAAUUAAGGGCGUAUGGUGGAUGCCUCGACACAAGAUGGCGAUGAAGGACGUGGCGUGGCUGCGAUAAGCCUCGGGGAGGUGCUUAGCAACCUGUGAUCCGGGGAUUUCCGAAUGGGGAAACCCAGUAUCAUAAACUGAUACUAGCGCGCCUCACUCUUGUUCAGCGCGCGAUAUUCAAUAGAUAUUUGCUCGCUUCGCUCGCGAAAUUUGCAAACCUUCGGUUUGCGAUACUAAUUGACAUCAAUGAGUAUCGCGCCGCAGGUGCGAGUAUCGCAGCGCGAGUGCUGCAAGUAUCAAUGAGUAUCAGCGCCGAGCAGUAGCGAGGCGCGCUGCUUACCCGGUGAAGUGAAACAUCUCAGUAACCGGAGGAAAAGAAAAAAAUGCGGGCUUUGUCUAAAUUUUCAAGCCGUAAGGCGCGGAAAAUUUAGCAACAAAGACCAGCGCCCCGCCCUCUAAGCACGUAGAAUUAAGGAAGGAUAAUUCGCCAAGAUUAAAUCAUAAUUUUUGAAUUAGUCCUUGUUCAACGGGCAUAGAGGGCGGGGUCAAGGUUUCGUUACUAAAAAUUCUUCGCUUUCAGCUCGAAUUUUUAGACGAAGCCCUUGAUUCCCCUAGUAGCGGCGAGUGAACGGGGAGGAGCCUAAACCUAUCUUGUGCGUAGCACAAGAACCGUUGACUUUUGACUUUUGACAUUUGACAUUUUUGUUAAUUGUCAAUAGUCAAUUGUCAAUUGUCCUCGCGCUGCGCGCGAGGUGGGGGUUGUAAGACAAGAAAUUCUUUCGACUUUUGACCUUUGACUUUUGACAGUUGACUUUAUGUCAAUUGUCAAUUGUCAAUAGUCAAUUGUUAAGAAAGAGUUGGUUACAAAUUGUUUUGUUAGCCGAAGAGUUCUGGAAAGGCUCAUCAAAGAGGGUGAUAAUCCCGUAGGCGAAAACAAAACAACCAAUUUUCUUGUUCUUGAGUACUCCGAGGACAGAAAGCUUCGGAGGAAGCAACCGGAACUAUCCGGUAAGGCUAAAUACAUCUUGUGAUCGAUAGUGAACUAGUACCGUGAGGGAAAGGUGAAAAGUAGGCCGGUGAGGCCGGUGAAAUAGAACCUGAAACCAUAUGCCUACAAGGAAGCGAAGCUUGUGCUCCGCACAAGAACCGUUGACUUUUGACUUUUGACAUUUGACAUUUUUGUUAAUUGUCAAUUGUUAUUUGUCAAUUGUUCUCGCGCGGAGCGCGAGUGACGCUGUGCCUAUUGAAGAAUGAGCCAACGAGUUAUUUUGCGUUGCGUGAUUAAUCCCUACGGGGAGAAGUCAUAGGGAAACCGAGUCUGAAUAGGGCGUCCAACACUGACUUAUACGGACUAAACACUGACUAUUGCGGAAAUUUUUCCGUCUUAGUCCGUGUAAAGUCUGUGCUAGUCCGUGUUAGCGUAGCGCGAAAUAGACCCGAAGCCAGGCGAGCUUACCUUGGCCAGGAUGAAUCUCGUCGAAAGGCGAGAGGAGGUCCGUACCGGUGGAUCGUGCAAAAUCCUCGGAUGAGCUGAGGUAAGGAGUGAAAAGCUAAUCGAGCCUGGUAAUAGCUGGUUCUCUCCGAAACAACUUUAGGGUUGGCGUCGAACAAAAACAGGCGUGGGGUAAAGC